RNAcentral lists this ribosomal RNA (1002 nucleotides) under Bacillus aerius. RNAcentral describes it as "bacterial SSU rRNA". It matches the Rfam family "Bacterial small subunit ribosomal RNA", at positions 54 to 1040 of the family's 1533-position model. Lineage: Bacteria; Bacillati; Bacillota; Bacilli; Caryophanales; Bacillaceae. The record is from RNAcentral.
CAUGCAAGUCGAGCGGACAGAAGGGAGCUUGCUCCCGGAUGUAGCGGCGGACGGGUGAGUAACACGUGGGUAACCUGCCUGUAAGACUGGGAUAACUCCGGGAAACCGGAGCUAAUACCGGAUAGUUCCUUGAACCGCAUGGUUCAAGGAUGAAAGACGGUUUCGGCUGUCACUUACAGAUGGACCCGCGGCGCAUUAGCUAGUUGGUGAGGUAACGGCUCACCAAGGCGACGAUGCGUAGCCGACCUGAGAGGGUGAUCGGCCACACUGGGACUGAGACACGGCCCAGACUCCUACGGGAGGCAGCAGUAGGGAAUCUUCCGCAAUGGACGAAAGUCUGACGGAGCAACGCCGCGUGAGUGAUGAAGGUUUUCGGAUCGUAAAGCUCUGUUGUUAGGGAAGAACAAGUGCAAGAGUAACUGCUUGCACCUUGACGGUACCUAACCAGAAAGCCACGGCUAACUACGUGCCAGCAGCCGCGGUAAUACGUAGGUGGCAGCGUUGUCCGGAAUUAUUGGGCGUAAAGGGCUCGCAGGCGGUUUCUUAAGUCUGAUGUGAAAGCCCCCGGCUCAACCGGGGAGGGUCAUUGGAAACUGGGAAACUUGAGUGCAGAAGAGGAGAGUGGAAUUCCACGUGUAGCGGUGAAAUGCGUAGAGAUGUGGAGGAACACCAGUGGCGAAGGCGACUCUCUGGUCUGUAACUGACGCUGAGGAGCGAAAGCGUGGGGAGCGAACAGGAUUAGAUACCCUGGUAGUCCACGCCGUAAACGAUGAGUGCUAAGUGUUAGGGGGUUUCCGCCCCUUAGUGCUGCAGCUAACGCAUUAAGCACUCCGCCUGGGGAGUACGGUCGCAAGACUGAAACUCAAAGGAAUUGACGGGGGCCCGCACAAGCGGUGGAGCAUGUGGUUUAAUUCGAAGCAACGCGAAGAACCUUACCAGGUCUUGACAUCCUCUGACAACCCUAGAGAUAGGGCUUUCCCUUCGGGGACAGAGUGACAGGUG